AUAAGAACACCACAUCUUACAACACUCUUAUAAGUAGAUAGUGAACCUAAAAUAUCCAUUUAAAGCAGAAGAAUAUAGAGGAGAUGAAGAUGAUGAUUAAGAGUGUAUUAAUCGCAUGCAUCACACUUCUCCUACUCACUGCCUUAACCGAAGUGACUGACGCAGCUCGACGAACGGGACGUGGAUCUAAAGCCGUUGCUACUAAUAGUGUAGCUUACCCUCAAGAAUGUCCAUGCUGCCAGUGGGGAUAUAGCGGUUACCCGAAUAAGUACUACCUCUGCCAGAAGAUAUGCUGCAAGACUUAAUUCAACAAGGAAAGUCCUCAUGCAUAAGCCACGGAAACGCACAUGCACUUUCUAAUGUAAUACGUAGUAUGGUUAAGUUGUAGUUGGUGGCGUUACUUUGCUCUUUGUGGAUGUAUCAAACUAUCUACCAGUGUUUAACUUUAAAUAAAGUUUGGUGCUUAUGUUUUAU
This is a long non-coding RNA of Papaver somniferum (opium poppy), 474 nucleotides long. RefSeq lists it as uncharacterized. Lineage: Eukaryota; Viridiplantae; Streptophyta; Magnoliopsida; Ranunculales; Papaveraceae. The record is from RefSeq and is a predicted model, not a curated record. The transcript has 2 exons.